GGGCGCUUAGCUCAGUAGUAGAGCGCUACAUUGGCAUUGUAGAGGCCGCGGGUGCGAUUCCCGCAGCGUCCA
This 72-nucleotide transfer RNA is filed under the name Candidatus Woesearchaeota archaeon. RNAcentral's name for it is "tRNA-Ala". It matches the Rfam family "tRNA". Rfam says of the family: Transfer RNA (tRNA) molecules are approximately 80 nucleotides in length. The record is from RNAcentral. Lineage: Archaea; Nanobdellati; Candidatus Woesearchaeota.